AACACAUGAGCUGCUUCUAAUCCUUCUUAGCAGGCAGGCUUGUUCUUCUGCUAAAAAUAUGAAGGAUUUUAUUCUGUUUAUGUGAAGAAAAGAUUUGUAGAGAGACAUGUGCUUUUAGCUAAGAGAAGUUCAGGAUUUUUAUUUUUUACACUGCAUCCUUUUGAAAAGAAAGGUGGAUUUGCAGCAGCAGAGAAGCUCACCUGCUGGACAGUGAGCACCUCCAAAGCUCCCCUAUGGAGGUAAAGGGAUUUGGAAAUACAAGGCAGGACUGUUGAUUCAAAGCAUGGACUUCACCCCUUAUGAAUUUGUCUCCUGAACACCUGUGCCAGCCUCCAGCAGCACUGAGCAACCAAGCUGCAUGGGGACAGCUCCCGUCCCCCAGAGCCAUGGUGUGUGGACUGCAAGUCACAGGACUGGCUGCAGCAGAAACAUCUCAUCGUUAGCACCCGGUGUGGAAGGGCCGAGAUGGUUUUGAGUGGGAUUGAGGCUUUUUUCCAGCUGCUUCUCUGAGCCACUGCGUUGGAAGCCUCCAAAGCUGCAACCYGUUGGUGUCCCACCAUAAGUGGCCUGAAGUUGCUUUGGGCUUUGCUGACAUCUGCUUUGGAAAGGAGGGUUGUGGAGCUCGUCCUGCUGCAGCUCCGGGUGGCUCUAUGGGAAGGCUGCACCAUGGGCAGGGACCAGGUGUGAGCUCGGCUUUGCUGCAUCCUCUCUGGUUGGCCUUGAGCAAAUAGUUAAACAAGGAAAGACUAAAGGAAAAUAAAUUUGC
Molecule: long non-coding RNA, 766 nt
Organism: Nothoprocta perdicaria
Lineage: Eukaryota; Metazoa; Chordata; Aves; Tinamiformes; Tinamidae
Exons: 3
Source: RefSeq, a predicted model, not a curated record